RNAcentral lists this ribosomal RNA (253 nucleotides) under uncultured bacterium. RNAcentral describes it as "partial 16S ribosomal RNA". It matches the Rfam family "Bacterial small subunit ribosomal RNA", at positions 524 to 776 of the family's 1533-position model. The record is from RNAcentral.
UACAGGGGGGGCAAGCGUUGUUCGGAAUUACUGGGCGUAAAGCGCACGUAGGCGGCUUUGCAAGUUAGAGGUGAAAGCCCGGGGCUCAACUCCGGAAUUGCCUUUAAAACUGCAUCGCUAGAGUUGUGGAGAGGUAAGUGGAAUUCCGAGUGUAGAGGUGAAAUUCGUAGAUAUUCGGAAGAACACCAGUGGCGAAGGCGACUUACUGGACACAUACUGACGCUGAGGUGCGAAAGCGUGGGGAGCAAACAGG